GGGCCUUUCAGAUCUCAUUUGGAGUUCUGAUCACAGAGUUGCCCUGUCCCCUUUGCUCCCCUGUAGGUAUUACUUGAUCUAUGACUAUGGAGAGCGACAGGGUCUCCUCAGUGCUUACCACAAUGAAGCCUGCUUCUCCCUGACCAUUCCCCUCAACGCUAUGGACCUAGACACGAGCAACUUGUGUGAGUAUUUCAAGUAUAGCAGGAAUUUGAAGACGCUCAAAGAACCAGGUACGGGUGUGAGGGGGAAGACUGUACAGAGGAAGGUCAUGUGAGGGGGACAGUCAUAGGAGCCAAGGGACCGGAUGUGGCAGUGUGCUGAUCUUCCCCUCUGCUCUUUUCUACAGACUUGCGGAGACAGCUGCUGAAGUACACGAAGCGAGACAUUGUAGAUUGCCUCUGUGUGUUGCCCAAAACUCGGCAUGACUGCGAUACCUUUGUGGUGGACAUGUGGCUCCAGACGGUAAACACCUGCUUCCUCCCUGGGGCACGGUCGGAAAGCUGGAGACAGUAGGAAGUUAAGCAGGACCCUGAGCUCCUGUUUUCUCCCCUUUCAGGAAAAGAUGCUUUGCUUUUCUGUGAAUGGAGUGUUCAAGGAAAGUAAGUGUCUGUAGAAGGCCCUGCCCAGAUGCCCUGCUGCUCUUCUUCCCUGGGUGG
Molecule: long non-coding RNA, 659 nt
Filed under: Cavia porcellus (domestic guinea pig)
Lineage: Eukaryota; Metazoa; Chordata; Mammalia; Rodentia; Caviidae
Description: lncRNA (ENSCPOG00000038383.1)
Source: RNAcentral